This 920-nucleotide ribosomal RNA is filed under the name uncultured bacterium. RNAcentral's name for it is "bacterial SSU rRNA". It matches the Rfam family "Bacterial small subunit ribosomal RNA", at positions 33 to 942 of the family's 1533-position model. The record is from RNAcentral.
ACGCUGGCGGCAUGCUUUACACAUGCAAGUCGGACGGCAGCACAGAGAAGCUUGCUUCUUGGGUGGCGAGUGGCGAACGGGUGAGUAAUAUAUCGGAACGUACCGAGUAAUGGGGGAUAACUAAUCGAAAGAUUAGCUAAUACCGCAUAUUCUCUGAGGAGGAAAGCAGGGGACCUUCGGGCCUUGCGUUAUUCGAGCGGCCGAUAUCUGAUUAGCUAGUUGGUGGGGUAAAGGCCUACCAAGGCGACGAUCAGUAGCGGGUCUGAGAGGAUGAUCCGCCACACUGGGACUGAGACACGGCCCAGACUCCUACGGGAGGCAGCAGUGGGGAAUUUUGGACAAUGGGCGCAAGCCUGAUCCAGCCAUGCCGCGUGUCUGAAGAAGGCCUUCGGGUUGUAAAGGACUUUUGUCAGGGAAGAAAAGGCUGUUGCUAAUACCGACAGCUGAUGACGGUACCUGAAGAAUAAGCACCGGCUAACUACGUGCCAGCAGCCGCGGUAAUACGUAGGGUGCGAGCGUUAAUCGGAAUUACUGGGCGUAAAGCGAGCGCAGACGGUUACUUAAGCAGGAUGUGAAAUCCCCGGGCUCAACCUGGGAACUGCGUUCUGAACUGGGUGACUAGAGUGUGUCAGAGGGAGGUAGAAUUCCACGUGUAGCAGUGAAAUGCGUAGAGAUGUGGAGGAAUACCGAUGGCGAAGGCAGCCUCCUGGGAUAACACUGACGUUCAUGCUCGAAAGCGUGGGUAGCAAACAGGAUUAGAUACCCUGGUAGUCCACGCCCUAAACGAUGUCAAUUAGCUGUUGGGCAACUUGAUUGCUUAGUAGCGUAGCUAACGCGUGAAAUUGACCGCCUGGGGAGUACGGUCGCAAGAUUAAAACUCAAAGGAAUUGACGGGGACCCGCACAAGCGGUGGAUGAUGU